This 456-nucleotide ribosomal RNA is filed under the name uncultured bacterium. Its description in RNAcentral is "SSU rRNA". It matches the Rfam family "Bacterial small subunit ribosomal RNA", at positions 26 to 518 of the family's 1533-position model. The record is from RNAcentral.
AGGACGAACGCUGGCGGCGUGCCUAAUGCAUGCAAGUCGCACGCACCUUCGGGUGAGUGGCGCACGGCUGAGGAACACGUGGCUGACCUGCCCCGGAGUGGGGGAUAACGGGCCGAAAGGCUCGCUAAGCCCGCAUACGACCCGCUGUGAUGGCGGAGGAAAGCCGCAAGGCGCUCUGGGAGGGGGCCGCGCCCCAUUAGCUGGUUGGUGUGGUAACGGCGCACCAAGGCGAUGAUGGGUUCCGGGUCUGAGAGGACGACCCGGCAGACUGGGACUGAGACACGGCCCAGACUCCUACGGGGGACAGCAGCAAGGAUUUUCCCCAAUGGGCGCAAGCCUGAGGGAGCAACGCCGCGUGGAGGAUGACGGCUUUCGGGUUGUAAACGUCCGUUUUGGGGGGACGAUAAUGACGGUACCCCUCGAACAAGCCCCGGCUAACUACGUGCCAGCAGCCGC